GCCCCCGUAGCUCAGUCUGGCUAGAGCGACGGUCUUAUAAGCCGUAGGUCCGCGGUUCGAAUCCGCGCGGGGGCA
This 75-nucleotide transfer RNA is filed under the name Candidatus Woesearchaeota archaeon. RNAcentral's name for it is "tRNA-Ile". It matches the Rfam family "tRNA". Rfam says of the family: Transfer RNA (tRNA) molecules are approximately 80 nucleotides in length. Their secondary structure includes four short double-helical elements and three loops (D, anti-codon, and T loops). Further hydrogen bonds mediate the characteristic L-shaped molecular structure. tRNAs have two regions of fundamental functional importance: the anti-codon, which is responsible for specific mRNA codon recognition, and the 3' end, to which the tRNAs corresponding amino acid is attached (by aminoacyl-tRNA synthetases). tRNAs cope with the degeneracy of the genetic code in two manners: having more than one tRNA (with a specific anti-codon) for a particular amino acid; and 'wobble' base-pairing, i.e. permitting non-standard base-pairing at the 3rd anti-codon position. Lineage: Archaea; Nanobdellati; Candidatus Woesearchaeota. The record is from RNAcentral.